RNAcentral lists this ribosomal RNA (474 nucleotides) under uncultured bacterium. RNAcentral describes it as "SSU rRNA". It matches the Rfam family "Bacterial small subunit ribosomal RNA", at positions 26 to 518 of the family's 1533-position model. The record is from RNAcentral.
AGGACGAACGCUGGCGGCGUGCUUAACACAUGCAAGUCGAGCGGAAAGGCCCUUCGGGGUACUCGAGCGGCGAACGGGUGAGUAACACGUGAGCAACCUGCCCUUGGCUCUGGGAUAGCCUCCGGAAACGGGGAUUAAUACCGGACAUUCACUUUCUCCUGCAUGGGGGGUUGGUGGAAAGUUUUUCGGCCAGGGAGGGGCUCGCGGCCUAUCAGCUUGUUGGCGGGGUAACGGCCCACCAAGGCGACGACGGGUAGCCGGCCUGAGAGGGCGAUCGGCCACACUGGGACUGAGACACGGCCCAGACUCCUACGGGAGGCAGCAGUGGGGAAUAUUGCACAAUGGGCGCAAGCCUGAUGCAGCGACGCCGCGUGGGGGAUGGAAGGCCUUCGGGUUGUAAACCCCUUUCACCAGGAGCGAAUUCAGACGGUACCUGGGGAAGAAGGCGCCGGCUAACUACGUGCCAGCAGCCGC